GUCAACCUACCCUCGAGUCGGGGACAACCACGGGAAACUGUGGAUAAUUCCCGAUAGGUGAGGAUCACUGGAAUGUUUUCUCACCCAAAGCUCCGGCGCUCGAGGAUGGGACUGCGGUCUAUCAGGCAGUUGGUGGGGUAACGGCCCACCAAACCAACGACGGAUACGGGCGAUGGGAGUCGGAGCCCGGAGAUGGGGACUGAGACAAGGCCCCAGGCCCUACGGGGCGCAGCAGGCGCGAAAACUCCGCAAUGCGCGCAAGCGUGACGGGGGAACCCCAAGUGCCGAUGGUCUUUGAUCGUCGGCUUUUCGGAAGUGUAAGGAGCUUCCGGAAUAAGGGCUGGGUAAGACUGGUGCCAGCCGCCGCGGUAACACCAGCAGCCCAAGUGGUGGCCGGGUUUAUUGGGCCUAAAGCGCUCGUAGCCGGACUGGUAAGUCCCUUGUGAAAUCGGUCGGCUCAACCGUUCGGCUUGCAAGGGAUACUAUCGGUCUUGAGGCCGGGAAGGGUCGGAGGUACCUCGGGGGUAACAGUGAAAUGUUGUAAUCCCUGAGGGACCACCAGUGGCGAAAGCGUCCGACAGGAACGGACCUGACGGUGAGGGGCGAAAGCUUGGGGAGCGAACGGGAUUAGAUACCCCGGUAGUCCAAGCUGUAAAGCAUGCGGGUCAGGUGUUUGGCAUCCUUCGAGGGUGCCAAGUGCCGAAGGGAAGCCGUUAAGCCCGCCGCCUGGGAAGUACGGUCGCAAGGCUGAAACUUAAAGAAAUUGGCGGGGGAGCACCACAAGGGGUGGAGCCUGCGGUUUAAUUGGAUUCAACGCCGGACAACUCACCGGGGGCGACAGCUGGUUGAAGGCCAGGUUGAUGACCUUGCUGGACUAGCUGAGAGGUGGUGCAUGGCCGUCGUCAGCUCGUACUGUGAAGCGUCCUGUUAAGUCAGGUAACGAGCGAGACCCUCACCCUUAGUUGCUAGUGUGUCUUCGGAUGCGCGCACUCUAAGGGGACCGCUGGUGCUAAACCAGAGGAAGGAGAGGGCGACGGUAGGUCCGUAUGCCCCGAAUCCCCCGGGCUACACGCGGGCUACAAUGCGCAGGACAAUGGGAUGCAACCCUGUAAGGGGAAGCCAAACCCCUAAACCUGCGCUCAGUUCGGAUCGAGGGCUGUAACUCGCCCUCGUGAAGCUGGAAUCCCUAGUAAUCGCGUGCCAAUAUCGCGCGGUGAAUACGUCCCUGCUCCUUGCACACACCGCCCGUCAAGCCACCCGAGUAGUGCUUGGAUGAGGUUUGUUCAAGUUGGGCGGAUCGAAUCCAG
RNAcentral lists this ribosomal RNA (1307 nucleotides) under uncultured archaeon. RNAcentral describes it as "16S ribosomal RNA". It matches the Rfam family "Archaeal small subunit ribosomal RNA", at positions 103 to 1412 of the family's 1478-position model. The record is from RNAcentral.